AGUGAACGCUGGCGGUAGGCCUAACACAUGCAAGUCGAACGGCAGCACAGUAAGAGCUUGCUCUUACGGGUGGCGAGUGGCGGACGGGUGAGGAAUACAUCGGAAUCUACUUUUUCGUGGGGGAUAACGUAGGGAAACUUACGCUAAUACCUCAUACGACCUACGGGUGAAAGCAGGGGAUCUUCGUACCUUGCGCGAUUGAAUGAGCCGAUGUCGGAUUAGCUAGUUGGCGGGGUAAAGGCCCACCAAGGCGACGAUCCGUAGCUGGUCUGAGAGGAUGAUCAGCCACACUGGAACUGAGACACGGUCCAGACUCCGAAGGGAGGCAGCAGUGGGGAAUAUUGGACAAUGGGCGCAAGCCUGAUCAAGCCAUACCGCGUGGGUGAAGAAGGCCUUCGGGUUGUAAAGCCCUUUUGUUGGGAAAGAAAAGCAGCAGGUUAAUACCCCGCUGUUCUGACGGUACCCAAAGAAUAAGCAACGGCUAACUUCGUG
This 492-nucleotide ribosomal RNA is filed under the name uncultured bacterium. RNAcentral describes it as "partial 16S ribosomal RNA". It matches the Rfam family "Bacterial small subunit ribosomal RNA", at positions 29 to 507 of the family's 1533-position model. The record is from RNAcentral.